GGCUUGCGACACAUUAGUUAGUUGGCAGGGUAAAGGCCUACCAAGACUAUGAUGUGUAGCUGGACUGAGAGGUUGAACAGCCACAUUGGGACUGAGACACGGCCCAAACUCCUACGGGAGGCAGCAGUAGGGAAUUUUCGGCAAUGGAGGAAACUCUGACCGAGCAACGCCGCGUGAACGAUGAAGUACCUCGGUAUGUAAAGUUCUUUUAUUAAGGAAGAAAAAAGAGUGGAAAAACUCCCUUGACGGUACUUAAUGAAUAAGCCCCGGCUAAUUAUGUGCCAGCAGCCGCGGUAAUACAUAAGGGGCGAGCGUUAUCCGGAAUUAUUGGGCGUAAAGGGUGCGUAGGCGGUUUAAUAAGUCUAUAGUUUAAUUUCAGUGCUUAACGCUGUUGUGCUAUAGAAACUGUUUUACUAGAGUGAGAUAGAGGCAAGCGGAAUUCCAUGUGUAGCGGUAAAAUGCGUAAAUAUAUGGAGGAACACCAGAGGCGUAGGCGGCUUGCUGGGUCUUUACUGACGCUGAGGCACGAAAGCGUGGGGAGCAAACAGGAUUAGAUACCCUGGUAGUCCACGCCGUAAACGAUGAGUACUAAGUGUCGGGUAAAACCGGUACUGAAGUUAACACAUUAAGUACUCCGCCUGAGUAGUACGUACGCAAGUAUGAAACUUAAAGGAAUUGACGGGACUCCGCACAAGCGGUGGAUCAUGUUGUUUAAUUCGAAGAUACACGAAAAACCUUACCAGGUCUUGACAUUUUCUUGCGAAGUUAUAGAAAUAUAAUGGAGGUUAUCAGGAAAACAGGUGGUGCAUGGUUGUCGUCAGCCCGUGUCGUGAGAUGUUAGGUUAAGUCCUAAAACGAGCGCAACCCUUGUCGUUAAUUGCCAGCAUGUAAUGAUGGGGACUUUAACGAGACUGCCAAUGAAAAAUUGGAGGAAGGUGGGGAUUACGUCAAAUCAUCAUGCCCCUUAUGAUCUGGGCUACAAACGUGAUACAAUGGUUGAUACAAAGAGUAGCUGAAACGCGAGUUCUUAGCCAAUCUCACAAAAUCAAUCUCAGUUCGGAUUGAAGUCUGCAACUCGA
Molecule: ribosomal RNA, 1079 nt
Filed under: 'Malus sylvestris' phytoplasma
Lineage: Bacteria; Bacillati; Mycoplasmatota; Mollicutes; Acholeplasmatales; Acholeplasmataceae
Description: bacterial SSU rRNA
Rfam family: Bacterial small subunit ribosomal RNA
Source: RNAcentral